CACAUUCUAAAUCCCGGUUGCUUCAAACAUGUGAUAUUUGUAGUGACAAGAAUGAUGGAAAUACGGAAGCAUUUUUCCUUCGAAGAUCGACAGUUCCGUCUGUGCCAUCAGUGACAGCAGAUCCACUUUGUUUACCGUGUAAUACGACACAGGCAGAGUGUGAUCUCAUAGCAGAAGCAACAACACCUGCUGAAACCACAACGCCUGCACCAAAGACAACAACUCGUGGUCAUCACGGUCAUUGCAGGAAGAGACAUCCUUAGUUUCGUCACAUGAGAGGAUAGUCGAUAAUCAAUCCAAAUAAAUGGA
Molecule: long non-coding RNA, 309 nt
Organism: Mytilus trossulus (common blue mussel)
Lineage: Eukaryota; Metazoa; Mollusca; Bivalvia; Mytilida; Mytilidae
Exons: 3
Source: RefSeq, a predicted model, not a curated record